AGAGUUUGAUCCUGGCUCAGAACGAACGCUGGCGGUAUGCUUAACACAUGCAAGUCGAACGAGAAAGCUUCUUCGGAAGUGAUUAAAGUGGCGCACGGGUGAGGAACACGUAGAUAACCUGCCCUUCAGUCCGGGACAACUUUUCGAAAGGAGAGCUAAUACCGGAUAACAAUGGAGAUCUAAUGAUCUCUAUUUGAAAGGAUUUAUCGCUGAGGGAUGGGUCUGCGUACCAUUAGCUAGUUGGUGGGGUAAUGGCCUACCAAGGCGACGAUGGUUAGCGGGUCUGAGAGGAUGAUCCGCCACACUGGAACUGAGACACGGUCCAGACUCCUACGGGAGGCAGCAGUGGGGAAUCUUGCGCAAUGGACGCAAGUCUGACGCAGCAAUACCGCGUGAGUGAAGAAGGCCUUAGGGUCGUAAAGCUCUUUUAUCGGGGAAGAUAAUGACGGUACCCGAGGAAUAAGCACCGGCUAACUACGUGCCAGCAGCCGCGGUAAUACGUAGGGUGCAAGCGUUGUUCGGAAUCACUGGGCGUAAAGGGCGUGUAGGCGGACUGUUAAGCAUGAGGUGAAAGCCCGGGGCUCAACCCCGGAAGUGCUUCAUGAACUGGCAGACUAGAGUUGGUGAGAGGUGAGCGGAAUUCCAGGUGUAGAGGUGAAAUUCGUAGAUAUCUGGAGGAACACCGGCGGCGAAAGCGGCUCACUGGUGCCAUACUGACGCUGAGGCGCGAAAGCGUGGGUAGCAAACAGGAUUAGAUACCCUGGUAGUCCACGCCGUAAACGAUGUCUACUAGCCGUUGGGAGGAUUGCCUCUUAGUAGCGUAGCUAACGUGAUAAGUUGACCGCCUGGGGAGUACGGCCGCAAGGUUAAAACUCAAAUGAAUUGACGGGGGCCCGCACAAGCGGUGGAGCAUGUGGUUUAAUUCGAUGCAACGCGAAGAACCUUACCUGGUCUUGACAUGCCAAGAAUCUUUUGGAGACAGAAGAGUGCCUUCGGGAACUUGGACACAGGUGCUGCAUGGCUGUCGUCAGCUCGUGUCGUGAGAUGUUGGGUUAAGUCCCGUAACGAGCGCAACCCUUAUCCUUAGUUACCAGCACGUUAUGGUGGGGACUCUAAGGAGACUGCCGGUGAUAAACCGGAGGAAGGAGAGGACGAUGUCAAGUCAUCAUGGCCCUUAUGAGUAGGGCUACACACGUGCUACAAUGGGCAGUACAAAGGGUCGCAAUACCGCAAGGUGGAGCAAAUCCCAUAAAGCUGCUCUCAGUCCGGAUUGGAGUCUGCAACUCGACUUCAUGAAGCAGGAAUCGCUAGUAAUCGCGAAUCAGCAUGUCGCGGUGAAUACGUUCUCGGGCCUUGUACACACCGCCCGUCACACCAUGGGAGUGGAUUGUACCAGAAGCGGGUAGACUAACCUUCGGGAGGUCGCUCACCACGGUAUGGUUCAUGACUGGGGUGAAGUCGUAACAAGGUAACC
Molecule: ribosomal RNA, 1474 nt
Filed under: uncultured prokaryote
Description: partial 16S ribosomal RNA
Rfam family: Bacterial small subunit ribosomal RNA
Source: RNAcentral